Molecule: transfer RNA, 66 nt
Filed under: Grimothea gregaria
Lineage: Eukaryota; Metazoa; Arthropoda; Malacostraca; Decapoda; Munididae
Description: Munida gregaria tRNA-Lys
Source: RNAcentral
CACCCGAUGGCUGAAUUUAAGUGUAGAUCUUUUAAAUCUAUAAUAGUAGCUUCCUACUUCUGGUGG